RNAcentral lists this ribosomal RNA (407 nucleotides) under uncultured bacterium. RNAcentral describes it as "bacterial SSU rRNA". It matches the Rfam family "Bacterial small subunit ribosomal RNA", at positions 17 to 429 of the family's 1533-position model. The record is from RNAcentral.
UCCUGGCUCAGAUUGAACGCUGGCGGAAUGCUUUACACAUGCAAGUCGAGCGGCAGCGCGGGGGCAACCCUGGCGGCGAGCGGCGAACGGGUGAGUAAUAUAUCGGAACGUACCCCGUCGUGGGGAGUAACACAGCGAAAGCUGUGCUAAUACCGCAUACGACCUGAGGGUGAAAGCGGGGGAUCGCAAGACCUCGCGCGAUGGGAGCGGCCGAUAUCGGAUUAGCUUGUUGGUGAGGUAAAGGCUCACCAAGGCGACGAUCCGUAGCUGGUCUGAGAGGACGACCAGCCACACUGGAACUGAGACACGGUCCAGACUCCUACGGGAGGCAGCAGUGGGGAAUUUUGGACAAUGGGGGCAACCCUGAUCCAGCCAUUCCGCGUGAGUGAAGAAGGCCUCGGUGUAAG